This 1075-nucleotide ribosomal RNA is filed under the name Shigella flexneri. RNAcentral describes it as "partial 23S ribosomal RNA". It matches the Rfam family "Bacterial large subunit ribosomal RNA", at positions 603 to 1680 of the family's 2925-position model. Lineage: Bacteria; Pseudomonadati; Pseudomonadota; Gammaproteobacteria; Enterobacterales; Enterobacteriaceae. The record is from RNAcentral.
ACCUUUUGUAUAAUGGGUCAGCGACUUAUAUUCUGUAGCAAGGUUAACCGAAUAGGGGAGCCGAAGGGAAACCGAGUCUUAACUGGGCGUUAAGUUGCAGGGUAUAGACCCGAAACCCGGUGAUCUAGCCAUGGGCAGGUUGAAGGUUGGGUAACACUAACUGGAGGACCGAACCGACUAAUGUUGAAAAAUUAGCGGAUGACUUGUGGCUGGGGGUGAAAGGCCAAUCAAACCGGGAGAUAGCUGGUUCUCCCCGAAAGCUAUUUAGGUAGCGCCUCGUGAAUUCAUCUCCGGGGGUAGAGCACUGUUUCGGCAAGGGGGUCAUCCCGACUUACCAACCCGAUGCAAACUGCGAAUACCGGAGAAUGUUAUCACGGGAGACACACGGCGGGUGCUAACGUCCGUCGUGAAGAGGGAAACAACCCAGACCGCCAGCUAAGGUCCCAAAGUCAUGGUUAAGUGGGAAACGAUGUGGGAAGGCCCAGACAGCCAGGAUGUUGGCUUAGAAGCAGCCAUCAUUUAAAGAAAGCGUAAUAGCUCACUGGUCGAGUCGGCCUGCGCGGAAGAUGUAACGGGGCUAAACCAUGCACCGAAGCUGCGGCAGCGACGCUUAUGCGUUGUUGGGUAGGGGAGCGUUCUGUAAGCCUGUGAAGGUGUGCUGUGAGGUAUGCUGGAGGUAUCAGAAGUGCGAAUGCUGACAUAAGUAACGAUAAAGCGGGUGAAAAGCCCGCUCGCCGGAAGACCAAGGGUUCCUGUCCAACGUUAAUCGGGGCAGGGUGAGUCGACCCCUAAGGCGAGGCCGAAAGGCGUAGUCGAUGGGAAACAGGUUAAUAUUCCUGUACUUGGUGUUACUGCGAAGGGGGGACGGAGAAGGCUAUGUUGGCCGGGCGACGGUUGUCCCGGUUUAAGCGUGUAGGCUGGUUUUCCAGGCAAAUCCGGAAAAUCAAGGCCGAGGCGUGAUGACGAGGCACUACGGUGCUGAAGCAACAAAUGCCCUGCUUCCAGGAAAAGCCUCUAAGCAUCAGGUAACAUCAAAUCGUACCCCAAACCGACACAGGUGGUCAGGUAGAGAAUA